Molecule: long non-coding RNA, 1582 nt
Organism: Homo sapiens (human)
Lineage: Eukaryota; Metazoa; Chordata; Mammalia; Primates; Hominidae
Product: long intergenic non-protein coding RNA 1229
Source: Ensembl
GGAGUAAUGGAGAACUCCAAGGGCAGGAGGUAACCAUUAAAGAGGACCAUCAUGUAGUGUGAGGAGUCAACAUUUCACACUAGAAAGCCCUUGGUUCAAGUUUUGUCUCUGCCACCUACAGAUUUUGUAACCCUGAGGAAACUAGCUACCUCUUUAUGUACUGCCCUAUGGAGAGGCACACAUGUCAAGAAACUGAGGGAGUGCCUUCCAGUCAACAGCCAGCCAGGAACUAAGGUGCUCAGUACAGCAGCCUCCACAAAGGACUGAACAAUGCCAACAGCUAUUUGACUGUGCUUGGAAGAUCUCCGUUUAGUUAACCCUUCAGAUGAGACCGCAGCCCUGGCCAGCAAACAAAUUGCAGCCUAUGGAAAGACCUUAAGGCAGAAGCACCCAACUGAACCACCCGAGGGCUCUGACUUACAGAAACUGUGAGCAUAUAGUGAAAUGGCCUCUACCUUAUUUUGAAUGGAUUUCUGGGAUAAAGUUCUUCAGUGAUAACAUGUUUGAAGCGGCUAUCUUAUGUGCCCAUGUUACAUGCUCAUGAUAAAGCUGCAUUUCCUGAGGGGACACCAAUGGAUACACCUCUGCCUGGCACGCAGCUUAGAGGCUAAAUGUAUGAAAAGCAACACCAUGCAAAUCAUUUUGAAACUGCUGUGGAACUCUCACGGGACCCUCCAUUCUAGACAUCCAGUCCCACUAGUGAUCUGACCAUGAAACCUACUAAGAGACUUCCAGAAGAAGAUGACCUCUGAAAGGAGAAAACUUUCUUCCAAGCUUCUGUGGAACAAGAAGAUGCCAUCCCUUUGGUGGAGCCCAAAGGGAAACCAGGUAGUUAGCAAGAGAAACUGUUGUUAUCAUCUAUGAAAGGUGCUUCCUGGGGUUUCAGAGGAGGGUGCAGAAGGGGAACAGUGAGUCUGGAGGGACAGAUGGAACAUUCCUGCAAUGCUAUCAAUCCAUAUCUGACCCUCAAUUCAUGAAACUUUCCAGACAACCCACCCUGACAGAUCCCUCUCUUCUUAGAGCUCUCACGUACCUUUCUUUUAGCAUUUAACAUUCAUAACCUCAAAUGAAUGAUUUCUAUGCAUGAGUCAUUUCCUGAGUAGACUGUCAGAUCCUUGAAGGCAGGAAGGCAAUGUAAUAUAAUGGAGAAUAUCCUAUGUCUUCAAAUAGUUAUGAAGAUUAGAAAGGCAAUCUAAGCAACAUCCUUAGCAUAUUACUAGGUGCACAUAAAAAGUGAUGAAUAGACAGAUUUAUGACUAUUCAUUUUUUUUAUCCUUCCUAUCCUUCACCAUGUGGAAGAUACACUGCCAUUACACACACCUCCAAAAAGAAAACUCAGCAUUUCUUAUGUAUCUUCUCUGGGUGAUUUACUAUGUAGAAGUUCAAGUAUGUUAUUAGAAUGCUUCCCCAAUUUAGUUACACACAGAUUCCACUUAAAGUACAGAAUAAAAUCUGACAUAUUCUUUUUAGUAUGAUGUUUUAAAAAAAUAUUUGGAAAGCAAAAUUCUGUUUUACCUCCCAAUGCUUAUUGCUGUUACGAAACUAUAAAACAAAAUAAAUUAAUAAAUUGAAUGCAAACAAA